CCGGCGUUGUCGGUGGACUGCUUGCCCAUGCUGAAGUAGCCCGGGUAGCUCUGCAACGACGUGCUCGCUGAGCACCCGAUGUCUCUGCAACAACAACAUUUUCUUGUGUCAGUUCAUCACAGCUUGUCAGGUAGCAUCAUUGGCUGCUGCGCCUCUGCGCCGCCGCCGCCAUGGAACCACGAUGAAGUGUUCGGGUCACCUGUUAGUCCUAGUGGGAGCUUCAUGUCGUUCUGGAACUGAAUUUGGCAAAGAACAAUGCUUUGAUCAGAUGUCUGAGCCCGAAACCUGCUAGUGCACAUCUGAAUUCUGAAACUCUGAAGCUGAAACUUCUUACCUGAGCAGCUGCACACUGUAGGCUCAUCAGAUGCUGCUUUGCAAAGUUCUCCUAUAGAGAUACAUACAAGUCACAAAAUGGAAUCAUUUGGAGUAAUAAGUAUUUGUAUUACUGAAAAUAAUUAAUUGACAUUAACAUUGCAGAUAUUAUUAUA
Molecule: long non-coding RNA, 488 nt
Organism: Oryza sativa Japonica Group (Japanese rice)
Lineage: Eukaryota; Viridiplantae; Streptophyta; Magnoliopsida; Poales; Poaceae
Source: RefSeq, a predicted model, not a curated record